GACGAACGCUGGCGGCGUGCCUAAUACAUGCAAGUCGAGCGAACGGACGCGACGCUUGCUUCUCUGUUGUUUGCGGCGCACGGGUGUGUCACACGUGGAUCCCCCCCCUAUCAGACUGGUAUCACUUCGGGACUCCGGCGCUUACACCGGAUAAUCUUCUGCUCCGCAUGGUUCAUUAGUGAAUUUCGGUCUUGCUGUCUCUUCUCGCUGGAUCCCCGCUGCAUUAGCUAGUUGGUAAGGUAACGGCUUACCAAGGCAACUAUGCAUAGCCGACCUGAGAGGGGGAUCGGCCGCACGGGAGCGGGAACACGGUCCAGACGCCUACGGGAGGGAGCAGUAGGGAAUCGGCCGCAGUGGGCGAGAGCCUGACAGAGCAACGCCGCGUGAGAUAUGAAGGUCUUCGGAGCGUAAAACUCGGUUAUGAGGGAAGAACAGAUGUGUAAGUAGCUGUGCACAGCUUGACGGUACCUAAUCAGAAAGCCACGGCUAACUACGUG
RNAcentral lists this ribosomal RNA (497 nucleotides) under uncultured bacterium. RNAcentral's name for it is "partial 16S ribosomal RNA". It matches the Rfam family "Bacterial small subunit ribosomal RNA", at positions 28 to 507 of the family's 1533-position model. The record is from RNAcentral.